GAAAGCUGACUCCUGGCUUAACACGUGCCCGGCGAGGGGCAGCGGGAUUGAAGCUUGCUUCAAUUGCCGGCGACCGGCGCACGGGUGAGUAACGCGUAUCCAACCUUCCGUACACUCAGGGAUAGCCUUUCGAAAGGAAGAUUAAUACCUGAUAGUAUCUUAAGCACACAUGUAAUUAAGAUUAAAGAUUUAUCGGUGUACGAUGGGGAUGCGUUCCAUUAGGUAGUAGGCGGGGUAACGGCCCACCUAGCCAACGAUGGAUAGGGGUUCUGAGAGGAAGGUCCCCCACAUUGGAACUGAGACACGGUCCAAACUCCUACGGGAGGCAGCAGUGAGGAAUAUUGGUCAAUGGACGAGAGUCUGAACCAGCCAAGUAGCGUGAAGGAUGAAGGUCCUACGGAUUGUAAACUUCUUUUAUAAGGGAAUAAACCCUCCCACGUGUGGGAGCUUGUAUGUACCUUAUGAAUAAGCAUCGGCUAACUCCGUGCCAGCAGCCGCGGUAAUACGGAGGAUGCGAGCGUUAUCCGGAUUUAUUGGGUUUAAAGGGAGCGCAGACGGGUCGUUAAGUCAGCUGUGAAAGUUUGGGGCUCAACCUUAAAAUUGCAGUUGAUACUGGCGUCCUUGAGUGCGGUUGAGGUGUGCGGAAUUCGUGGUGUAGCGGUGAAAUGCUUAGAUAUCACGAAGAACUCGGAUUGCGAAGGCAGCACACUAAUCCGUAACUGACGUUCAUGCUCGAAAGUGUGGGUAUCAAACAGGAUUAGAUACCCUGGUAGUCCACACGGUAAACGAUGGAUACUCGCUGUUGGCGAUAUACUGUCAGCGG
Molecule: ribosomal RNA, 823 nt
Filed under: uncultured Bacteroidota bacterium
Lineage: Bacteria; Pseudomonadati; Bacteroidota
Description: bacterial SSU rRNA
Rfam family: Bacterial small subunit ribosomal RNA
Source: RNAcentral